GGAACUUUAGCUCAGUUGGUUAGAGCCCCCGACUCAUAAUCGGUUGGUCAUAGGUUCGAGUCCUAUAAGUUCCACCA
RNAcentral lists this transfer RNA (77 nucleotides) under Mycoplasma sp. RNAcentral describes it as "tRNA-Ile". It matches the Rfam family "tRNA". From Rfam's summary of the family: Transfer RNA (tRNA) molecules are approximately 80 nucleotides in length. Their secondary structure includes four short double-helical elements and three loops (D, anti-codon, and T loops). Further hydrogen bonds mediate the characteristic L-shaped molecular structure. tRNAs have two regions of fundamental functional importance: the anti-codon, which is responsible for specific mRNA codon recognition, and the 3' end, to which the tRNAs corresponding amino acid is attached (by aminoacyl-tRNA synthetases). tRNAs cope with the degeneracy of the genetic code in two manners: having more than one tRNA (with a specific anti-codon) for a particular amino acid; and 'wobble' base-pairing, i.e. permitting non-standard base-pairing at the 3rd anti-codon position. Lineage: Bacteria; Bacillati; Mycoplasmatota; Mollicutes; Mycoplasmatales; Mycoplasmataceae. The record is from RNAcentral.